This 1323-nucleotide long non-coding RNA is filed under the name Felis catus (domestic cat). Its description in RNAcentral is "lncRNA (ENSFCAG00000045444.2)". The record is from RNAcentral. Lineage: Eukaryota; Metazoa; Chordata; Mammalia; Carnivora; Felidae.
UUCAAAAAUGGGACAGCCCUUCUCAGCAAGAAGGGGUUCGCAGGGCUCUCUGGCUCGAUGGGCACGUACCCUUAGUUAAGGGAGACUUGGUGGUAGAUGAAACCAUUCUUAGAUUUCCGGGAAUUUUCAUGGAGGGCGUCCAUAGCCCUGAGGUUCAGGGGAGGUGAAGGCUGGAGGAUUCCUGAGGACUGAGUAUCUGGGAGGAAGAGAGGAGGAAAGACAUCUUCUGGUGUAUUUUUGGCUACAGACUGGGCCAUGCAGGACUUGGAAAGCUGACUGAUCCCUGUCGGCUUGGAUUCUAUAGAGCCCUCCUGGUGGCUCCUAGCCGGUGUCUGACUGACCAUUUUUGCACUUUUUCUAUACAGAUCAUUAAACUCUUGGGUUUAUUUUGCAGCAUACAAGUUAACAUAGGUCUCACGCAAGUACAUAUCAAAGCUAAGAACAGUAGCUUCCAUGACAAAACAUCUACUUUAUAUCAGACACCAUCCCAGAUGGCCUGAAGUAGCUCUUUAAACCCACAUGACCCCCCCCACACCCCCCACCAAGGAGCCAUUCUCCCAUCUUAUAAAUGAGGCACCUGAGACACAGGCACUAGUUUUUAAGUUUUGCCCCAAACCAUUUGAUUUGUUUGGAGAAAUCGGCGAUUGUUCUUGCUGGUUCCCCUCCUGUGGUCAGUCUGUCUUCUCCGUCGGUUUGUCCACAACCAGCAUCUUGGCUCAGCUUUGUCAUCUGUCCCCUGACCAGUUGCCAUUCCUUGCCUUGGGGUAACCCUGGGUUCUUUCAAACACACCCUUGUCUUGUCUCCACCAGACUGAGGCAGACCCCCUCUCUCUCCCCGGUUUGUCUACAACCAGCAUCUUGGCUCAGCUUUGUCAUCUGUCCCCUGACCAGUUGCCAUUCCUUGCCUUGGGGUAACCCUGGGUUCUUUCAAGCAAACCCUUGUCUUGUCUCCACCAGACUGAGGCAGACCCCCUCUCUCUCCCCACAGAACAUUUCAUGGAUUGUGCUGUCCCUCCCUUUCUCUUUCGGGAAGGACUUGUUGGCUAAGAACACCUGCUGGUCUGGACUUCUUCCUUCUCUCCGUGCCCACUGCUCGGAUAAGAAGCUUCUCUCGCCUCCUGCUAGUGAUUCAUCAUCCAGGUUACUUUUAUAAUGAUUAACACCUUUUAAUCAAGAAAUCCAUAAUUUGGACAUUGCACAGCAGAAACUUUCAUACGGGCUUACCACCUGGCAGUCAUUUAAAUGUGCUUCGUUAGAUUCAAACUAUGGAAACACACAGAAAAAGCUAUUGCACAAGGUAAAGCUUUUGGGUUUUGAUUAACA